CAAUAGCGUAUAUUAAAGUUGUUGCAGUUAAAAAGCUCGUAGUUGGAUUUCUGGUGGGAGCGAUCGGUCUGGCGCUUAGCGCGAGUACUUGCAUCGUCUCCGGCCAUCCUUGGGGAGAGUCUGUCUGGCAUUAAGUUGUCGGGCAGAGGAUCCUCAUCGUUUACUGUGAAAAAAUUAGAGUGUUCAAAGCAGGCUUAUGCCGUUGAAUAUAUUAGCAUGGAAUAAUAAGAUAGGACUUUGGUACUAUCUUGUUGGUUUGCGCACCAAAGUAAUGAUUAAUAGGGACAGUUGGGGGUAUUCGUAUUCCGUUGUCAGAGGUGAAAUUCUUGGAUUUACGGAAGACGAACUACUGCGAAAGCAUUUACCAAGGAUGUUUUCAUUAA
RNAcentral lists this ribosomal RNA (383 nucleotides) under uncultured eukaryote. RNAcentral describes it as "partial 18S ribosomal RNA". It matches the Rfam family "Eukaryotic small subunit ribosomal RNA", at positions 592 to 976 of the family's 1831-position model. The record is from RNAcentral.